UGAAUUCAAGAUGCCAUGUCCCCAUUGUCUUAAACCAGGCAACAACAAUUGCAUGCUCUCUAUUAAUAUACUCAAUAUAUUGCUGCGCGGAUGUUGGGACAAGUGCUUCGUAGCUUAGUAGGCGUAUGUUAGAUUCCUCACGUUAAUGGCCACUUGACCUCCGUUGGCCUUUGCAACUAUUUACGCACACUUGGGAGGUGGAUACGUAGGAUUUAUCGGCGUAGCCUUGUUAUAUCGCCGUAGGUUUGUUAUGCGGCACGUCUUGUGUUGUGCCAAGGAUGGUGAGCUUUGAUCCUGUACAACGCAGGCGUAGUCGUGACUAGUGUCUGAUGAGUGUUGGCUGCUUGCGCGGCCAAGUGCGUGGCCUGGUGUGAAAUGAGGCGUGUGGCGAGGUGUCACGUGUCAGGUUUGGGGUUUGAGGAAAGUGCGUAUUGCAUCAAGUGCGAAGCACUCAAGUCGGCUUUACAGAUUCAUCGGUCAUAUAUAUAAAGGUGGGGUAACCCAGGGUAACAAGGAUUGCC
This 521-nucleotide long non-coding RNA is filed under the name Volvox carteri. RNAcentral describes it as "long non-coding RNA (VCAR_LNC002122)". Lineage: Eukaryota; Viridiplantae; Chlorophyta; Chlorophyceae; Chlamydomonadales; Volvocaceae. The record is from RNAcentral.